AUACGAACCGUACGAACGUUAUUCGGAAUCACUGGGCUUAAAGCGUGCGUAGGCGGCUUGGAAAGUUGGGUGUGAAAUCCCUCGGCUCAACCGAGGAAUUGCGCUCAAUACUGCCAGGCUUGAGGGAGGUAGAGGUAAGCGGAACUAAUGGUGGAGCGGUGAAAUGCGUUGAUAUCAUUAGGAACACCUGUGGCGAAAGCAGCUUACUGGGCCUCUUCUGACGCUGAGGCACGAAAGCUAGGGGAGCGAACGGGAUUAGAUACCCCGGUAGUCCUAGCUGUAAACGAUGAGCACUGGAUUGAGGAGACUUCCACAUCUUCUCGGUCGUAGCGAAAGUGUUAAGUGCUCCGCCUGGGGAGUAUGGUCGCAAGGCUGAA
RNAcentral lists this ribosomal RNA (377 nucleotides) under uncultured bacterium. Its description in RNAcentral is "bacterial SSU rRNA". It matches the Rfam family "Bacterial small subunit ribosomal RNA", at positions 523 to 898 of the family's 1533-position model. The record is from RNAcentral.